This 4585-nucleotide long non-coding RNA is filed under the name Homo sapiens (human). RNAcentral's name for it is "HSALNT0289831". Lineage: Eukaryota; Metazoa; Chordata; Mammalia; Primates; Hominidae. The record is from RNAcentral.
AAUAAUUCAAUUGCUCAAUUUAUUCAAAAAGACAAACCCAUGCAGAGCCUAGAAGCCUAGCGGGUUCCCAUCCACAGGAGCCAUGACAAGCACCCACGGAGCAGCAGUGAUUCCAGCUUCAGUCCAAAGGCCUUCUCCCAAAACAGUGAAAUGUGUGCCUGAUGGUAGAGGGAUUGAUAUGUCAUAAACGCUUCGGAACCUCCGUGCAGAUGGAAGAAGCCUCAGGACGAAGACAACAGGAGACUCUCUCUAAACAGUGGUAGCUUGCUGUCAAGAGGAAAAGAGCAGGACCUUAAAGAAGAUUUAAUUUUCCUGUUCAGAAAAAAGAAAGUGCAGCUUGCUAGCAGCAUUCAUUUAAUUUUACAUCAAUACGCUCUUUGAGGCUGAAACAAAUCUGACUGAUUUUCAACAUGGAAAUAAAAUAUAAAAACUGUUCUUGGAGUUAUUUCUAAACAGAACUGACAUCAGAAUCGUCUGAAUUAUCAGAAUCGUCUAUUUCGGAAAAAUCGGAUUCAUCAAACGAAUCUUCGGCCAACAAGUGUUUGAGAACAAUGUCACCAUCACGCACAGGAAUGGCAUGGUUUUUUGCAGCGAUCGAAAGUUACUAUAUUUGUAAAUGGAAAUACCAUGACUAAAAACAAAAUAAUAGAAUGAUGGCUUUUGUUUCCAAAGUCGAUAUUCCAGAGCGAUGGGAAAAUAAUAAUAAAAGUGAGAUAUUUUGUGGCAAAGCUAUCUCAGUAAAUGCCGCAGCCGUGGGCACUGCUGGUGAGUAUUCUCAGGGCAAAUGGGAAAAGGGUUAAAAGAAUGUCUCAGAGUCCAAGGAGCAGCGGCACCGUGCAGCGGCUGACUCUCCAUCCUUCCCGUCGUGGCAUCGUUGGCAAGGUAAGGUGGCUACUUUUCCCACAGGAGAUGCAGACUGACCCCACCUGCUUUGAAUCCGGGCCGACCACUGGGAUACGUGAAUGUGGCAGCAGACAAGUUCACAGUGGCCCUGGGGCUUCCUCAAUCCAUCUCUUCCCCACCCCCAAAAAAACCUGCUUCUGCCGUCGGGACAAGCUCAAGCUAGUUGUUGGAGGAUGAGAGGCCACACAGAGGAGACUUGAGGCGCCUCAGCCCACAGCCCGCCCAGCCCUCAACCAUGGAAAACGCUAGCCUGGACCUGGAGGAUCACCCUACCCCAUCCUCUGCUGACCAAAAACACAAGAACAAUGAUUGAUAUGGAUUGUUCCAAGCCACUGACUGUUGGGGUGAUUUGUUAAGCAGUGAUCAACGACCCAUAUCUACCACCAAGGCUGGCGGGCAGGGGCAUUAUCAUGGCUCACUGCAGCCUUGACCUCCUCUCGGGCUCAAGCAAUCCUCCAUAUUAGCCUACUGAUUAGCUGGGACUACAAGUGCUUGCCACCACUCCCAAAUAAUUUUUAUAUUUUUUGUAAAGACAAGGUUUCUCCAUAUUGCCCAGGCUGGUCUUGAACUCCUGAGCUCAAGCAAUCUGCCCGCCUCGACCUCCCACAGUGCUGGGAUUACAGAAUAAACAGCAGAAGAACAGAACCAUGUUCGGCUCUACAGCCACCGCUGCCAAAGCCUGGGCAACACUCAAGAAUGCGAACAAAUCCCAGGUCGGCACUGCCUGAUCCAGACCCUGGGGUCCUCGUCCUCCUGCCCAGCAUGGGGUGCUGGCUGUGCUGAGGCUGCGGCCAGGACUACAGGGACGGAGUUGUGUGAUUAGGCUAGGUGCAGUGGCUCACGCCUGUGAUCCCAGCACUUUGGGAGGCCAAGGCAGGCGGAUUGCUUGAGCCCAGGAGUUUGAGAUCAGCCUGGGCAACAUGGUGAAACCCCAUCUCCACAAAAAAGACAAGAAUUAGCCAGAUCCUGGAUGGAGCUGGAUGGAACCGAAUAUCUUAAUUCUAAAAAGAUUUCCAGAAAAUCAUACCGACCAGAGGACAUCCAGCCCAGCUUAACACAGACGACGACCACUCAAGGUGAGACGCAGCCCUUGGCCCCAGCUUCCCAUGGGCAGGGAGCCAGCCGAGCCCCUCAGAGGCGUUCCCCAAGGCUCUGCAGAUGCGGCCCAGGAAGAUGCAGGAAAAGAAGGACAGCCCAGUGUCUGGGGCCCCUCCCAGGGCGAAGAACCGGCAUUCCUACCGCAGCCCAGGCUGACGCUGCAGCCAGUCCCGGGGCAUUUUAGAGUCCCCAGGGACCGGUAACUGCUGUGGGUCCCCUGAUUCCCCUUCUAGUUGGGCGCAUUUACCGAGACAAGCCUGUCCCCGGCUCGGUGCUGUGUGGGGCCCAGCAGGGCUGGUCACUCGUCUUAGUGCCCAAGGCUCCAGGUUAAGAGGAGCCACGUGAGCCACGAUGGUCAUCACCAGAUGCUGGGUGCCGUGCUCGAAGCCAGGACCGGCUGAGGCUUUCGGGGGUUGCAUGUUUUGCAUGCAUCAGUGAAGGAGACAUUUGUGACCCACUACUGGGGCAGGUGGUUUCACUUUCCCACCAUUAUGUCCAGAAUUGGUAGGUUCUUGGUCUCACUAACCUCAAGAAUGAAGCCGUGGACCCUCGUGGUGAGUGUUACAAUUCUUAAAGAUGGUGUGUCCGGAGUUUAUUCCUCGGGUGUGUUCACAGUUUUUCUUCUGAUGGGUUCGUGGUCUCGCUGGCUUCAGGAGUCAAGCUGCAUAGCUUGGCGGUGAGUGUUGCAGCUCUUAAGUCGGCGGAUCUGGAGUUGUUCGUUUCUCCCAUCCGGAGUUGUUCAUUCCUCCUGGUGGGCUCGGGCUCUCACUGGCCUCAGCAGUGAACCCGCAGACCUUCGUGGUGAGCGUUACAGCUCACAAAGGCAGUGCGGACCCAAACAGUGACCAGCAACAAGAUUUAUUGCAAACAGCAAAAGAACAAAGCUUCUACCGCAUGGAAGACGACCCCAGCGGGUUGCCCCUGCUAGCUCGUGCAGCCUGCUUUUAUUCCCUUAUCUGACCCCACCCACAUCCUGCUGAUUGGUCCAUUUUACAGAGAGCUGAUUGGUCCGUUUUGACAGGGUGCUGAUUGGUGCAUUUACAAACCUUGAGCUAGACACAGAGUGCUGAUUGGUGCAUUUACAAUCUUCCAGCUAGAUAUAAAAGUUCUCCAAGUCCCCACGAGAUUAGCUAGACACAGAGCACUGUUUGGUGCAUUUACAAACAUUUAGCUAGACACAGAGUGCUGAUUGGUGUAUUUACAAUCCUCUAGCUAGAUGUAAAAGUUCUCCAACUCCCCACCCGACUCAGGAGCCCAGCUGGCUUCACCUAGUGGAUCCCCCUCUGGGCCCGGGAGGGCAGCCCACCAGUCCUGCACCACACCCACACCCCUCAGCCCUUGGGCGGUCGAUGGGACUGGGCGCCUCGGAGCAGAGGGCGGCACCUGUCAGGGAGGCUGGGCCCCACGGGAGCCCACAGUGGGAGGGGGGCUCAGGCAUGGCAGGCUGCAGGUCCCAAGCCCUGCCCCAUGGGGAGGCGGCUGAGGCCUGGUGAGAAUUCAAGCAUGGCGGAGGUGGGCCGGCAGUGCUGGGGUACCUGGUGUACCCUCCUCCGCAGCUGCUGGCCCAGGUGCUAAGCCCCUCACUGCCCGGGGCUGGCAGCGCCGGCCGGCCACUCCAAGUGUGGGGCCCACCGAGCCUGCACCCACCCGGAGCUCACGCUGGCGCGUGAGCACCACGUGCAGCCCCGGUUCCUGCCUGUGCCUCUCCCUCCACACCUCCCUGCAAGAGGGAGCCGGCUCUGGCCUCGGCCAGCCCAGAGAGGGGCUCCCACAGUGCAGCAGCAGGCUGAAGGGCUCGUCAAGCAUGGCCAGAGUGGCCGCCGAGGCCGAGGAGGCGCCAAGAGUGAGCGAGGACUGCCAGCAUGCUGUCACCUCUCACCAUCCCCAGUUCUCCUGUCACCUCCCUGGAGGAGGGUGUGUUCCUGGUGCCACUGGCUUUGUGCCUGGCCACGUGACACAUCUUGACUCAUAGAACGUGGGCACAGGUGAGGUGCGGCCCUGUCAGAUCCACGGAAAAUGCACUUGCAGGGGUUGGCCGAACCCCUCUUGCUCCUUCCCCUUUCUGUUAGUUUCCUAUCAAAGCUGCAACAAAAACAACAGAAAUUUACUACCGUUCUGGAGGUCAGAUGCCUCCAAUGGGUCCCACUGGGCUAAAAUCAAGGUGUGAGCAGGGCUGCCUUCCUCCUAGGGGCUCCACAGAAGAAUCCAUUUCACACCUUCUCAGCUUCUAGAGGCUGUGGCAUCCCUGACUCAUGGCCCCUUCCUCCACCAUCGCAGUUGGCAGCACAGCUGACCCUAGCCUCCACCUUCACUGUCACGCUGCUCUUUGGCUCCGACCCUCCUGCCACCCCUUGUGAAUAUUCAGGUGCCAGGGCCCUCUCCAUCUCAACAUCUCUACUCACCCUGCAAAGCCCCUUGAGCCACAGGAGGUCACAUGUCCACAGCUUCCAGGGACAAGGGUGUGGACAUUUUGGAGGAGCCAUGAUGCUGCCUCCCACACCUCCGUUCGAACAUUAUCACAGCCCAGACAGAUUCUCCUGCAGCCUGGGGCCUGGAAUGCAAAGGCCACUGGGGCCAAAUCAGC